Long non-coding RNA from Bubalus bubalis (water buffalo), 2638 nucleotides. RefSeq lists it as uncharacterized. The record is from RefSeq and is a predicted model, not a curated record. The transcript is spliced from 3 exons. NCBI's taxonomy places the organism in Eukaryota, Metazoa, Chordata, Mammalia, Artiodactyla, Bovidae.
CCAACGGGUAUCUCUUGAGCCCACAGAGUGGCCUAAAGGGAGUCAGGCCUCCUGUGGAGUUUGAAGAGAGGCCUCGAGAUGCUCUCCAGGCCAUGCAGGAAAAGAAGGCCUUCAUCUCGCGACGACGGAGGCGUCUCGUGGGUUUUCUCGAGCUGGGGAGCCAGUGUGGGAUUUCUCACGAGGUAUGACGGGGAGCUCAGGGAGCCUCUCGUGUGGCGCCAGGGAAGUCAAGUCUCCAUGCGAGUGGCGAGGGGGAACGCGUCAUUGCUCUUGAGUCAUGGUAGGGGAAUCGGGAUUCAAGACGCAUUGAAGGAGGAUUUUCGAGGUCUUUCUCGGGUUGCGUCAGGAAACCCUGUGUUCCCUCGACUUGUGCCGGUGACCUCAGGGAGCUUCUAAGGGUGCCUCUGAGAAGUCGGGAUACUGUGGAUUUGGGAGGGGCCUCUCGGGCCUCCACUGUUUUUGGUGUAAUGGAAGAGGGCCUCAUCUCGAGUGGAGUCAGGAACCUCAGGGUUCCUCUCCAUUUCGGACUCCGAUCGCAGGGUCCCUUCAGAGUUGGGACCGGAGAGUCAGGCCUCGUCUUGAGUGGAGGAAUGGAACUCUGCUUGCCUCUCGUGUUGUUCAUGGGAUGACAGGCCUCUUGUUGAGCUGUGUGUGGAACCUGCGGCUUUUACCGAAUGAUGCACGGGAGUGUCAGUGACCCUUCGUUUUGUGCCUUCGUCCACAGGGUUGCCUUCGAAGAGGUGUCCGGGCAUCGGGUUCUUCUCAAGAGUGGGCCGGGAAAUCGGGGUAUUUCGGCAUGUGACACCACCCACGACGCUAUGUCUCGAAUUUCCUCGUGAGACCGGCCUCAUCCUGAGGGUUGCCUUCGAAGAGGUGUCCGGGCAUCGGGUUCUCCUCAAGUGCGGACCGGAAAUCAGGGUCUUUCAGCAUGUUGCACCACCCACGAGGCUACGUCUCGAAUUUCCUCGUGAGAUCGGCCUCAUCCUGAGGCGCGCAGGAAAAUCCGGGAACCCUUUCCAGACAAAGCAGGGGAAUCGACCCUCCUUUCGGGAUCAGGAGGAGAGAAAGGGCUCAGAUGAAGUAGUGCCGGGAACCUCGGUGCUCCCCUUGAGUGAAACUGGGUUACCUUCGAAGAGGUGACCGGGCAUCGGGAUCUUAUCAAUAGCGGACCAGGAAAUCGGGGUCUUUCAGCAUGUGGCACAACACACGAGGCUACGUCUCGAAUUCCCUCGUGAGACUGGCCUCAUCCUGAGGUUCGCCGGGAAGUCUGGGAACCCCUUCCAGACAAAGCAGGGGAAUCGACCCUCCUGUCGCCAUCAGGAGGGGAGAAGAGGCUCAGCUGAAGCAGUGCUGGGAACCUCCAUGUUCUCCUCGAGUGAGACCGGGGUGUCAGGGAAAUUUGGGGGUCGCAUCAAGGGUGUCAAGUACCGUUUCACACUUCAAGACGGAACAUGGGACUUCGCUGGAGACGCUAUAGCUGACAGGGGCCUCAUAUUUCGAUGACGGAGGAGCCACGUUGUUUUUCUCCAGUUGCCGCGGGAUUCUCGAAUUACAACGGGAAAUACAGUCUUCCUCUUGUGUUGGCCCAGGGAAGUCCAAUCAUCCAUUCGAGUUGCGAGGGAGAGCUGGGGAUUGCACUUGAGUCAAUGCAGGACAAAAAAGACCUCAUUUAGGCUUGUGUCCAGGACCGAGUUUUCCUCUACAGGGGCGACACGGAUCUCGGGAUCCCAUUCCAGACUCACCCAAGUAGUCAGGCCUCGGCUCGAGGGGAAGCAACGGACUCCGCUCUCCUCUAGAGUAGCGACGUGUAUCUCUUGGAGGCUACUGAGUGGCCUAAAGGGAGACAGGCCUCCAGUGGAGUUUGGAGAGUGGACUCGGGAUUGCUCUCUAGGUCAUGUAGGAAAAGAAGGCCCUCAUCUUACGAUGACGGGGGCGUCUCAUGUGUUUUCUCGAGCGGAGGUGCCAGUGUGGGGUUUUCAUGAGGUAGGACGGGGAGCGCAGGGAGCCUCUCGUGUGGCGCCAGGGAAGUUAGGUUUCAAUGGGCGUGGCGAGGGAAAUGCGUCAUUGCUCUCCAGUCAUGGUAGGGUAUCGGGCCUCAAGACGCAGUAAAGAAGGACUCUCGAGGUCUUUCUCAGAAUGCAGCAGGAAACCCUGGGUUCACUCGACUUGUGCCAGUGACCGCAGAGAGCUUCUGAGGGUGCCUCUGAGAAGUCAGGGAUACUGUGGAGUUGGGAGGGGCCUCUCGGGACUCCACUGGGUAUGGCGCAAUGGAAGAGGGCCUCAUUUCGAGUUGAUGCAGGAACGUCAGGUUUCAUCUACAUUUCUGACUCCGAUCGCACGGUCCCUGCAGAGUUGGGAAAGGAGAGUCAGGCCUUCUCUUGUGUGGAGGAACGGAACUCCGCAUGCCUCUCUAGUUCUUCAAGGGAUGACAGGACACUUGUCGAUCUGUGUUUGGAAUCUGCGUGUUUUUCCGUACUAUGCAUGGGGAUGUCAGUACCCCUUCGUGUUGUGCAUUCAUCCACAGGUUUGCUUUCGAAGAGGUGCCCGGGCAUCGGGUUCUUAUUAAGAGCGGACCGGGAAAUCGGGGUCUUUCCGCAUGUGGCACCACCCACCAGGCUACAGUCUCGAAUUUCCUAGU